AUGGAAAACUUGAAACCCAACGCAUUUGUCGAGGCCCUCAAAGUCGUCGGCAAGGCGUUCGUCGUCUGGAGCAGUAACUGGAGACGCCUGCUCCCCGUCAUCGUCGGGGUGUUUCUGCUCGACCUGGCUCUGACGGUCGUGUGGGUGAAUCUAGCAAGCCUGCACCUCAAUCUUGAUUCCAUGGGGCUCUUCUUCGAAAUGGCCGACAACUCGACCACCAUGGCCGCGGGAGCCGUGGUUGUGACUCAUGUGGACGAGGGGACGGAGGUCUCGUCCUCGCGCCAACUCAUCGAAAUCGUAGGGGAAAUCUUCUUCGGGUUAUCAACAACCGUGGCCCUCCUUUCCUUCUCAUGUACAUGUAACUGCGAUCUUUCAGAUAAUAGGACUACUACUUCAGAAGGACAACACCCUUCUUUAUCGUCAUGGAGGGAAUGGAAGAGUUUGGGCAUUCAGUUGUUCACGGGGCUGGGCAUGACCAUCUUCAUAUCGGUACUUUUGGAAGUUCUUGAGCUGGACGACGACCUGUCCCACUAUCUCACCAAUUUCUUCGAUUUCGUAUACAUGCUUGCCGCUGUUGUUGCUUCAAAAGAGGGCCUCUACGGGUUCUCUGCAGCCGAGAAGGCAUGGUUAAUCAUUAGCGAAAAGUUCUAUGAGAUAACUGUGGCGGGCGCGAUGAUUUUUGUCGUCCAGGGAUGUCUAGAAAAGGUCUACACGAGUGCAAGAUUUUUACCUCGAAAGAAGGAAGUGGUGUUGGCGCUCGUGAUAAGGGAGGACACGGCGGCUGACAUCUUCCGGUACUCCGUCGCCGCAGCCUUUCUCACCGUCAUUCUGCAGGUAUUUCUGUGUUUGGUGAUUUUGGCGUUUUACGGUGGCGGCGGACGCCCAAUGGUAAGCAAGGCCUUAAUAAUGCAAGCUUCGCGAGCAAUUUCGCAUCGUUUAUAUACUCAACAGUCUGCUCCCAUUUGCAGGAUCGGCGACCCCUCGGCAACGAUGUCAGGGGCGUGCCUGCGGCGACGCACACGCAGCCGCUCCUUGAAGCAGAGGCAGCAAGGGCGGGCUCUGCUUCUGGCGGGAGUGACGCCAGCUCGAGUGCUGGAGGCCCGUCUCGCAGCCCAAACACGAGGAUGGCACGGCCCAGGAGAAAGACCAGGCCUAACCCGAAAUACGAUCCGCGUGAGUGGCAGUUGUUGUGACGGUUGUGGCGCUUCCCCCGUUGUUGUGCUCAACCCUCUACUGCUGCAGUGUAUCGACUAG
Molecule: ribosomal RNA, 1254 nt
Filed under: Triticum aestivum (bread wheat)
Lineage: Eukaryota; Viridiplantae; Streptophyta; Magnoliopsida; Poales; Poaceae
Description: partial small subunit ribosomal RNA
Source: RNAcentral